Acomys russatus (golden spiny mouse) is the source of this 136-nucleotide small nucleolar RNA. RefSeq annotates it as small nucleolar RNA SNORA17. NCBI's taxonomy places the organism in Eukaryota, Metazoa, Chordata, Mammalia, Rodentia, Muridae. The transcript has a single exon. The record is from RefSeq and is a predicted model, not a curated record.
CCUGACUCUAGAGGCACAGCAGGUGUGGCUAUUGUGUCACAUGUGUGUGUGUCAGUAGGUGGCAGAGAGGAGACAGGCUAUGUCUAAGCAUAGCGUUCUGACCUGUGAAGAAUUGAAUGAUUAGGAGUCUAACAAU